AAAUUUAAAUGAUAAGAUUAGAUAUUAAAUGUAACAUGACUUUAUAGGAAUAGAUCCAUUAGGUCCAUUUUUUAAAACAAUCACACAUGAAUCAAGGUUGAGACUUAUGUUUUAAUAUAUAAGAUGUUCAUCCCAACAAUUGCAAAUGUUUAUCCCAACAAUUGCAAAGAUUUAUUUAAAUGGUUGCAAUGAUUCAUUUAAAUCUCUAACAUAAAAAUAUAUAUAUAAAAAUAAAAAAAUACAAUUUAAAAAACAAAAGAAAAUAUAAGUGAUGUCUAAUAGGUGAAAUAAAAUAAAUAUCUAUAAUAAAAAAGAAAAAAAAUGAUAAUAACAAAGAAAUAAACAGUUAUAAGGCAGUUUAAAUGAAAAUGUACUAUAAAUAUAAUUGAAAAUAAAUUAAAUAAAAAGGGAUAUAAUUUUAAAAAAUAAAAGCAGUUAUAAAUGAAAAGGUAUCAUAAACUGUUUUGAAAAAUGAAUAAUGAACAGUUAUGAACAAAAUUCUAAUGAAAAUGCAUAUCCUAAAAUCAAAUAAAACAAUAAGGUUGUAUACAUAAACGUUUAUAUAAACUAAAUUGGGAUAUAUUAUUCAUGGGCUGGUUGGUUUGUUUUACAAUAGCAACAAUUACAAGAAGGACACAACAAUAACAUGAAACGGAUAUAAACAAUUUUGUAUGUAUGAAAGACAAACCUUUUCAUGUAGUAUAAGAAAAACAUUAAGACUAAUGAUUUCAUUAUUUCAUUUUGGAUUUUAGCUAACCAAACACGUAAAACUCGUCCUACUAUUUUUUGUUUAUAACGUUCAAUUUGAAUAUCUUCUAAAAAUUUGUAACCAAGUAACUGCAUAAACUUUUUUUUUCCACCAUUUUAUUAGCUCGAUAAGUGAAAAUUUUAUUUUGAGAAAUGCAUGUCAGAGACUAUUUAGAGAUUUUAAAAAUUUAUUUGAAUAGUCACAACUAUUCAAUUUGAAUAGUCACAUUCUUUCAAUUUAAAGGUAGUUAUUUUCAAAAGAUUCUUAUAAGAAUAGUCACAACUUUUUUACUUUUUAUAAGAUAUUUAUAUGAAUUUUUACUUUUUAGGAAAGACACAUCCUUCUAACAUUGAACUUUUAGAAAAGACACAACCUUUUUGGCAUCUUUUAGAAAAGACACAACUUUUUAACAUAGAACUUUUAGAAAAGACACAACUUUUUUGACAUUUUUUAGAAAUGACACAACUUUUCAACAUAAGUAGGAUUCACAACCUUUGGAAUUAAUUGAGAUUGCUAUUAUUAGUAGAUUAUGAACGCAUAUGCUACCAAACAUUCUUGUUUUCCUUUGAUAUAUUGUAUAAUUUUUUUGGGUGCAAAUGUUAAGUGAUAUAUUGUAUAUUGUCUUAUCAUUUGCAUUCUUGCAAUUUUUACAAAGUAAUCCCCUUCUAACUUAUUUCAAAAACAAGGUAACAAAAGGGUAGAAAAACCAUUACAGAUUAACAGUUCAAGUUUUAUAUACGAGAAGUUGUAGGUUGAAAGAUUUACAGGUCAGAAAAAGUCAUGGCAAUUGUAUUUGCUGUUGUUAGGUUAAUCUAACUAGGAUCCACUUUUGACUUGUUCAUUUCCAUCGAAUCUACUUUCAACACAAUUUUGAUUCACAUGAUCUGCAUUGUUACCCUUAGCUACUCCAAAACCACAAUUCUUGCUUUCUGAUCCAUCUCUGAGCAUUUCAAAUGGGGAAGAAAGGCCAUUUUUCCGUUGUAACAUCAAAAUGGUAAAAUAUUAUUACAUAUUCAUCACGUUUACGAUUGUUACGUGCUGUGUGUUCAUGAGAAUUAGGUCCGAGCAAGAGGUGUGGAUUAAACGACGAAGCAUGUGAGAGUUGAAACUUAUACAUUACUGACGGUUACUAUGGUCUACUGGUGGUUGGUCCUGAAGGAAGAGUCGCUAGGCCUUUAGCUACUCAUGUAGAAGGAAAGCCUAUACCCUUUGCCAACGAUCUUGACAUCCAUACAAAUGGCUCCAUCUUCUUCACUGACACGAGCAAAAGACAUGACAGAGCAUAGUCAAAAAGCCUCAUGCUUACCGUUAGUAUGAUAUACGAGUUAGACUUUGAACCAAUUGCAGAUGGAUCUGCUUGGGAGUAACUAAUGAUUAAUGACACUUGGGAGUGAAGUGAGGGAGGCUCAAGGGAAGCUUUGGAUUGGAAAAUUGGCUCAUAACCAUAUUGCAACUUUGUCUUAUCGUUUAACAAUCAACUAGUGAACAAUAUAAAAGUGUAGUUUGUAUCUCUUUGUAACUUACUAUCUCUGUUUCGAUUUUGAGUACAUCGGGCUGCUGUGUUUAUCUUUUGUUGAUGUGUGCAGAAGAUUAAUAUUGAACUUUUCUUUUGUUGGAAUCA
Brassica napus (rape) is the source of this 2369-nucleotide long non-coding RNA. RefSeq lists it as uncharacterized. NCBI's taxonomy places the organism in Eukaryota, Viridiplantae, Streptophyta, Magnoliopsida, Brassicales, Brassicaceae. The record is from RefSeq and is a predicted model, not a curated record. The transcript has 2 exons.